GUUGGUAUUGCUGUAGGGUCCUGGGGAGGGAUUCUCUGGCAACCUGAGCUCUGACCCCGUGUCCCCCCACA
RNAcentral lists this microRNA precursor (71 nucleotides) under Mus pahari (shrew mouse). Its description in RNAcentral is "miRNA (MGP_PahariEiJ_G0007774.1)". The record is from RNAcentral. Lineage: Eukaryota; Metazoa; Chordata; Mammalia; Rodentia; Muridae.